RNAcentral lists this unclassified non-coding RNA (384 nucleotides) under Salvia dorystaechas. RNAcentral's name for it is "partial external transcribed spacer". Lineage: Eukaryota; Viridiplantae; Streptophyta; Magnoliopsida; Lamiales; Lamiaceae. The record is from RNAcentral.
CAUUUCCUCCACGCCUCUUCAAAUGUAGGCAGGAGCACGCGCUCCGCCGACGUUGGCUUUCCUGUGCUGAAUACCUAUCGUGAGGGCAUUAUGUCGGCUAGAAUCAUUCAUUUCCCGCCUUGUGCUGCUGCUCUACAUGGGCAAGUGGUGCGGGGUGGGCCAAAUCGCGCACGUCGUGUAUCGCACCUCGUUCGCCUUCACGGGUGUCCGGGUUGACGACCCACGACGUUAUGCUCGAUCUCUCGGGUACGGUAUAYCAHGUGGGUACGAGGCCAUCGGCCUCCGAGCACCACAAACAAAAGCGUUCUACGCUUMGUGCGAACGACGGUCGGCACGGUCUUUGGCCGUGCUCUCGUAGCUCGGUUCAAGUCGUGCCGACGUCGA